This 78-nucleotide transfer RNA is filed under the name Desulfovibrio sp. RNAcentral describes it as "tRNA-Glu". It matches the Rfam family "tRNA". Rfam says of the family: Transfer RNA (tRNA) molecules are approximately 80 nucleotides in length. Their secondary structure includes four short double-helical elements and three loops (D, anti-codon, and T loops). Further hydrogen bonds mediate the characteristic L-shaped molecular structure. tRNAs have two regions of fundamental functional importance: the anti-codon, which is responsible for specific mRNA codon recognition, and the 3' end, to which the tRNAs corresponding amino acid is attached (by aminoacyl-tRNA synthetases). tRNAs cope with the degeneracy of the genetic code in two manners: having more than one tRNA (with a specific anti-codon) for a particular amino acid; and 'wobble' base-pairing, i.e. permitting non-standard base-pairing at the 3rd anti-codon position. The record is from RNAcentral. RNAcentral also lists the same sequence under 20 other names. Lineage: Bacteria; Pseudomonadati; Thermodesulfobacteriota; Desulfovibrionia; Desulfovibrionales; Desulfovibrionaceae.
GUCCCCAUCGUCUAGCCUGGUCCAGGACGACGGCCUUUCACGCCGUUAACAGGGGUUCAAAUCCCCUUGGGGACGCCA